CUCUCUGUGCGAUGCCUUGCUCGACAUCCCUCAUGGGCUGCUCAAGCCAGACACUCUACCCUGUGCAAUGAGCCUAGGCUCCAGGUGUGCAAGAGCUGUCUGGCCGGCGGCCUAUUGCUUAAGCAUAGUUAGCCAAAUAUCAGUGGAAACCCCUUGUUCCAAAGCUACAAGUGCUUGGGCGAUAACCACCUUGUCUCUCUUAGUUUGAGCCCUGAGCCUACAGACCAGCCAGAGAAGCAACACCAAUCCGCAGCAAACGGCUGCACCAAACAAUCCCAUCCCCACCCAUUCCUUAAAAUAGGAGACAGCUGAAGCGAUCCAUGAUGACAAUCCCUCCGUCAAGGACAGGAGUUAAUCUGGAUAAUAGUGGCUCUCAACUCCCGGGGAGAGGGUGGAGUUCCGACUUUUGAGGGUCCGAAGGGGCUCUUUGGGUGUGAGUUUUAACUAUGCUGUGAUAAUGUUUUUCAAUGCCUAUAACUUCCAGGUAUUUCUAAUAUUUCUAAUAAUUUACUCUAUUUGGGUGUAAUUCUUCAAAUGGUGGGAAUGACAUUGGAGACCAUUUUCUUAUUCCAAACAAUAGAGAAAAAUUUUCUAUUUUCCUAUUCUAUUGCUAAGGAAUAUGCUUCAUUUUGUUUUCAGAUAUUUAUUAUCUUAAGAAGCUUUCUUUAAAUUGCUUCAUGUUGAGUUUUAAUCUCAAUAUGUGUUGCUUAUCUUUCUUUUCAAGCAACAACUUUAUGGCAUUUUUAGAGGUAACACUGUUUCUUUUGCUUGCCUGCAUCUGACAUGGUAUGUGCUAGUAGGGGUUCAUAUCUGAAAAUAUUAUAAUCACUCUGGGAUGAGUCCUUAACCAUCACCCAAGUCAUUCAAGCUUUCCUAUAUAAUUUAAUAUCAUAGCUCUACAAGCUUUAUAUAACAAAUUAUAAAGAAACCUUU
Molecule: long non-coding RNA, 933 nt
Filed under: Cricetulus griseus (Chinese hamster)
Lineage: Eukaryota; Metazoa; Chordata; Mammalia; Rodentia; Cricetidae
Description: lncRNA (ENSCGRG00015035665.1)
Source: RNAcentral